UAGCCACAAAGCUAAGCCUCCAGUCCUAGAUACCAGUACUAGUGCUGCUCUCCCUACACUCGCUCCCCCCUACGUGCUAGAGAGAUGUCUCGUGCUCCUACGCUCGCUGCCGCUGCCGCGGUGGCGGCCGUCGUCCUCAUCUGCUCCUCCUCAACGGCUACCGCGGCGGACGGCAACGCGAGGCAGCCGCCGCUGGCCCCGGGCCUGUCCUUCGACUUCUACAAGCGCAGCUGCCCUAAGGCGGAGUCCAUCGUGCGGAGCUUCGUGCAGGACGCCGUGCGCAGGGACGUCGGCCUCGCCGCCGGCCUCCUCCGCCUCCACUUCCACGACUGCUUCGUGCAGGGCUGCGACGCCUCCGUGCUCCUCGACGGCUCCGCCACCGGGCCGGGAGAGCAGCAGGCGCCGCCCAACCUCACGCUGCGCCCCACCGCGUUCAAGGCCAUCAACGACAUCCACGACCGCCUCCACAAGGAGUGCGGCGGCACCGUCGUCUCCUGCUCCGACGUCCUCGCGCUCGCCGCACGGGAC
RNAcentral lists this long non-coding RNA (528 nucleotides) under Sorghum bicolor (sorghum). Its description in RNAcentral is "long non-coding RNA (SBIC_LNC005872)". The record is from RNAcentral. Lineage: Eukaryota; Viridiplantae; Streptophyta; Magnoliopsida; Poales; Poaceae.